UACAGAGGUCCCAAGCGUUGUUCGGAUUCACUGGGCGUAAAGAGUGUGUAGGCGGUGCUCCAAGUCUGUUGUGAAAUCUCCCGGCUUAACUGGGAGGGUGCGGCGGAAACUGGAAUGCUAGAGGGUGGGAGAGGUAAGCGGAAUUCCUGGUGUAGCGGUGAAAUGCGUAGAUAUCAGGAGGAACACCUGUGGUGUAGACAGCUUACUGGACCACUUCUGACGCUGAGACACGAAAGCGUGGGUAGCAAACAGG
This 253-nucleotide ribosomal RNA is filed under the name uncultured bacterium. RNAcentral describes it as "partial 16S ribosomal RNA". It matches the Rfam family "Bacterial small subunit ribosomal RNA", at positions 524 to 776 of the family's 1533-position model. The record is from RNAcentral.